GGAGGACAGGUGGUGCGAUGGUUGUCGUCAGCUCGUGUCGUGAGAUGUUGGGUUAAGUCCCGCAACGAGCGCAACCCCUGUGGUUAGUUGCCAGCAAGUAGCGUUGGGCACUCUAGCCAGACUGCCGGUGAUAAAUCGGAGGAAGGUGGGGACGACGUCAAAUCAUCAUGCCCUUUAUGUCCUGGGCUACACACGUACUACAAUGGCCGUUACAACGGGAAGCGAAGGAGCAAUCCGGAGCAAAUCCCUUAAAGGCGGUCCCAGUUCAGAUUGUGGGCUGAAACUCGCCCACAUGAAGGCGGAAUUGCUAGUAAUUGCAGAUCAGCAUGCUGCAGUGAAUACGUUCCCGGGCCUU
RNAcentral lists this ribosomal RNA (355 nucleotides) under uncultured Paenibacillus sp. RNAcentral describes it as "bacterial SSU rRNA". It matches the Rfam family "Bacterial small subunit ribosomal RNA", at positions 1029 to 1382 of the family's 1533-position model. Lineage: Bacteria; Bacillati; Bacillota; Bacilli; Caryophanales; Paenibacillaceae. The record is from RNAcentral.